AUACCUUUCUCGGGCUUUGAGUAAGAUCAAGUGUAGUGUCUGUUCUAUCAGUUUAAUAUAUGAUACGUGGGUCGUUGGUCCACAAGAUAUUAACAAGAAUGAUCAGAU
RNAcentral lists this small nuclear RNA (108 nucleotides) under Solanum lycopersicum (tomato). Its description in RNAcentral is "U2 spliceosomal RNA". It matches the Rfam family "U2 spliceosomal RNA". Rfam says of the family: U2 is a small nuclear RNA (snRNA) component of the spliceosome (involved in pre-mRNA splicing). Lineage: Eukaryota; Viridiplantae; Streptophyta; Magnoliopsida; Solanales; Solanaceae. The record is from Rfam by way of RNAcentral. RNAcentral also lists the same sequence under 1 other name.